ACCUUCGUGGUGUAGUGGUCAGCACUCUCGACGCGUAAGCGAAAGGAUCGUGGUUCGAUUCCCGGAGAAGGUG
Non-coding RNA from Stegodyphus mimosarum, 73 nucleotides. The record is from Rfam. Lineage: Eukaryota; Metazoa; Arthropoda; Arachnida; Araneae; Eresidae.